Molecule: ribosomal RNA, 159 nt
Filed under: Chlorella vulgaris
Lineage: Eukaryota; Viridiplantae; Chlorophyta; Trebouxiophyceae; Chlorellales; Chlorellaceae
Also listed under: 1 other name
Description: 5.8S ribosomal RNA
Rfam family: 5.8S ribosomal RNA
About the family: 5.8S ribosomal RNA (5.8S rRNA) is a component of the large subunit of the eukaryotic ribosome. It is transcribed by RNA polymerase I as part of the 45S precursor that also contains 18S and 28S rRNA. Functionally, it is thought that 5.8S rRNA may be involved in ribosome translocation.
Source: RNAcentral
CAACUCUCAACAACGGAUAUCUUGGCUCCCGUAUCGAUGAAGAACGCAGCGAAAUGCGAUACGUAGUGUGAAUUGCAGAAUUCCGUGAACCAUCGAAUCUUUGAACGCAACUUGCGCCCGAGGCUUCGGCCAAAGGCAUGUCUGCCUCAGCGUCGGCUC